RNAcentral lists this ribosomal RNA (167 nucleotides) under uncultured rumen bacterium. RNAcentral describes it as "partial 16S ribosomal RNA". It matches the Rfam family "Bacterial small subunit ribosomal RNA", at positions 340 to 524 of the family's 1533-position model. The record is from RNAcentral.
UACGGGAGGCAGCAGUCGGGAAUAUUGCGCAAUGGAGGAAACUCUGACGCAGUGACGCCGCGUGAGUGAAGAAGUAUUUCGGUAUGUAAAGCUCUAUCAGCAGGGAAGAUAAUGACGGUACCUGACUAAGAAGCACCGGCUAAAUACGUGCCAGCAGCCGCGGUAAU